This 382-nucleotide ribosomal RNA is filed under the name uncultured eukaryote. RNAcentral describes it as "partial 18S ribosomal RNA". It matches the Rfam family "Eukaryotic small subunit ribosomal RNA", at positions 592 to 976 of the family's 1831-position model. The record is from RNAcentral.
UGUAAGCGUAUACCAAAGUCGUUGCAGUUAAAACGCUCGUAGUCGGAAUUUGGCAGUUCCGGAUGUGUGCACGUCGUGUGCGCACUUCGCGGGGAUUGCUUUUGUGGUCUUGCGUAGGAUGAGGCACUUUUAUUAGUGAACGUCCUCACGCAACCACUUUUUACUGUGAGAAAAUCAGAGUGCUCAAAGCAGGCAUCUGCCGUGAAUGUAUUAGCAUGGAAUAAUAGAGUAGGACUUGGUUCUAUUUUGUUGGUUUGUUGGGACUGAGUAAUGAUUAAGAGGGACAGUUGGGGGCAUUUGUAUUUCGGUGCUAGAGGUGAAAUUCUUAGAUUACCGAAAGACAAACUGCUGCGAAAGCGUCUGCCAAGGAUGUUUUCAUUGA